UACAAGUAAGCAGCCGCGGUAAUACGUAGGGUGCAAGCGUUAUCCGGAAUUAUUGGGCGUAAAGAGCUCGUAGGCGGUUUGUCGCGUCUGCUGUGAAAUCCCGAGGCUCAACCUCGGGCCUGCAGUGGGUACGGGCAGACUAGAGUGCGGUAGGGGAGAUUGGAAUUCCUGGUGUAGCGGUGGAAUGCGCAGAUAUCAGGAGGAACACCGAUGGCGAAGGCAGAUCUCUGGGCCGUAACUGACGCUGAGGAGCGAAAGGGUGGGGAGCAAACAGGCUUAGAUACCCUGGUAGUCCACCCCGUAAACGUUGGGAACUAGUUGUGGGGUCCUUUCACGGAAUUCCGUGACGCAGCUAACGCAUUAAGUUCCCCGCCUGGGGAGUACGGCCGCAAGGCUAAAACUCAAAGGAAUUGACGGGGACCGCACAGCGGCGGAGCAUGCGGAUUAUUCGAUGCAUCGCGAAAAACUUACCAGGCUUGACCUACCCAGACACC
Molecule: ribosomal RNA, 494 nt
Filed under: Microbacterium sp.
Lineage: Bacteria; Bacillati; Actinomycetota; Actinomycetes; Micrococcales; Microbacteriaceae
Description: bacterial SSU rRNA
Rfam family: Bacterial small subunit ribosomal RNA
Source: RNAcentral